This 468-nucleotide ribosomal RNA is filed under the name uncultured bacterium. Its description in RNAcentral is "partial 16S ribosomal RNA". It matches the Rfam family "Bacterial small subunit ribosomal RNA", at positions 28 to 507 of the family's 1533-position model. The record is from RNAcentral.
GACGAACGCUGGCGGCGUGCUUAACACAUACAAGUCGAACGGUGAUGCUCCAGCUUGCUGGAGUGGAUCAGUGGCGAACGGGUGAGUAACACGUGAGCAACCUGCCCCAGACUCUGGAAUAAGCGCUGGAAACGGCGUCUAAUACUGGAUACGAAACUGGCCCGCAUGGGCAUGGUUUGGAAAGUUGUUCGGUUUGGGAUGGGCUCGCGGCCUAUCAGCUUGUUGGUGAGGUAAUGGCUCACCAAGGCGACGACGGGUAGCCGGCCUGAGAGGGCGACCGGCCACACUGGGACUGAGACACGGCCCAGACUCCUACGGGAGGCAGCAGUGGGGAAUAUUGCACAAUGGGCGAAAGCCUGAUGCAGCGACGCCGCGUGAGGGAUGACGGCCUUCGGGUUGUAAACCUCUUUCAGCAGGGAAGAAGCGAAAGUGACGGUACCUGCAGAAGAAGCACCGGCUAACUACGUG